Molecule: ribosomal RNA, 252 nt
Filed under: uncultured bacterium
Lineage: Bacteria
Description: partial 16S ribosomal RNA
Rfam family: Bacterial small subunit ribosomal RNA
Source: RNAcentral
UACGAAGGGGGCUAGCGUUGCUCGGAAUCACUGGGCGUAAAGCGCACGUAGGCGGGUCUUUAAGUCGGAGGUGAAAUCCUGGAGCUCAACUCCAGAACUGCCUUCGAUACUGAGGAUCUCGAGUCCGGGAGAGGUGAGUGGAACUGCGAGUGUAGAGGUGAAAUUCGUAGAUAUCGCAAGAACACCAGUGGCGAAGGCGGCUCACUGGCCCGGUACUGACGCUGAGGUGCGAAAGCGUGGGGAGCAAACAGG